UACGGAGGAUGCGAGCGUUAUCCGGAUUUAUUGGGUUUAAAGGGUGCGUAGGCGGACGCUUAAGUCAGCGGUAAAAUUGCGGGGCUCAACCUCGUCGAGCCGUUGAAACUGGGUGCCUUGAGUGGGCGAGAAGUACGCGGAAUGCGUGGUGUAGCGGUGAAAUGCAUAGAUAUCACGCAGAACUCCGAUUGCGAAGGCGGCAUACCGGCGCCCUACUGACGCUGAGGCACGAAAGCGUGGGUAUCGAACAGG
Molecule: ribosomal RNA, 252 nt
Filed under: uncultured bacterium
Lineage: Bacteria
Description: partial 16S ribosomal RNA
Rfam family: Bacterial small subunit ribosomal RNA
Source: RNAcentral